RNAcentral lists this ribosomal RNA (434 nucleotides) under uncultured bacterium. RNAcentral describes it as "partial 16S ribosomal RNA". It matches the Rfam family "Bacterial small subunit ribosomal RNA", at positions 29 to 507 of the family's 1533-position model. The record is from RNAcentral.
AGCGAACGCUGGCGGCAGGCCUAACACAUGCAAGUCGAACGAACCUUUCGGGGUUAGUGUCGGACGGGUGAGUAACACGUGGGAACGUGCCUUUAGGUUCGGAAUAACUCAGGGAAACUUGUGCUAAUACCGAAUGUGCCCUUCGGGGGAAAGAUUUAUCGCCUUUAGAGCGGCCCGCGUCUGAUUAGCUAGUUGGUUGAGGUAAUGGCUCACCAAGGCGACGAUCAGUAGCUGGUCUGAGAGGAUGAUCAGCCACAUUGGGACUGAGACACGGCCCAAACUCCUACGGGAGGCAGCAGUGGGGAAUCUUGCGCAAUGGGCGAAAGCCUGACGCAGCCAUGCCGCGUGAAUGAUGAAGGUCUUAGGAUUGUAAAAUUCUUUCACCGGGGACGAUAAUGACGGUACCCGGAGAAGAAGCCCCGGCUAACUUCGUG